CCCAGAGUGGUGUAAUGGUAGCAUUCCGAUCUGACACAUGGGGAAGCCGGCAGCGCAGAACCAUGCCCGCAAGGGAUGAAGGGAUCCGGGUUCGAAUCCCGGCUCUGGGA
This is a non-coding RNA of Nemania sp. FL0031, 110 nucleotides long. NCBI's taxonomy places the organism in Eukaryota, Fungi, Ascomycota, Sordariomycetes, Xylariales, Xylariaceae. The record is from the annotation of a GenBank genome assembly.